UGUCUCAGACUUCUCAACAGUGAAGGCCACACGAGGGAGGUGGUCUUCUAGACGCCAUCCUGAAAACACACCAUACAGUUUACUCUAAAACAAGGAGUAGAGCUGUGGGAAGAACAAGGUCCCAGGAAGUCAUCUCAAGUUAUCAUGAGGACAACAAUGCUGUGAGAAGGACAUCUUCAAAGAAAACCCUGAACAACAGUUUUUAAAAGAAGAUAAAGCAAAUCCAAUUUGUCGAGAUGUUUCUGCUGUUCUCAGAGAUAAAUCACAUUAUUGUGUUUUAUCAGCAGAUUGGUGGACAGUUUUAACAGCUUAAAACUGAAAACAAAAUGGAAAGGGCCUCUAGAGUCUCCGAAGAAUCCGCUAUUUCAGAGCCACAGCCAAUGAAUACCAUUUCUCAACCAUCUGCAUGGAGCUGUGAGACCAGGAACUCAUCCUUUCUUGGUACCAUUACCAGCUGUAAGUCAAGGCACACAAUGUGUCCUGAACUAUAAGAAAGGUGGUCACUCAUCCUCUCUCCUUGAGGCGAAGGUUACAUCUGCUCUUUCUUUCCUUCAGACCCUUGCUAGAACCUGCAGCUAAAUGUAUAAUACCUUUUGAAUACAUGUGUAAUAUGGACCAGGCCAAGCUGCUUAGGUGAAAGACUUAAAUAACCACAAAUAAUUGUAGGCAUUAAGUAAAAAAUCUAGAAUUUUGUGGAGUUGCAUCUUGUCUAAAAGAUGAUGAUGAUGAUGAUUUUUUAAAAUAUUUCUGGAAAACCAGAUUGCUGGAAAGUUUGUGUCUCAGAAAUGAGAGGUCAUCUUAGUUGAGUAUAUGUUUAAUAAAUGAGUAUCAUUUCCUCCAGC
Long non-coding RNA from Peromyscus eremicus (cactus mouse), 842 nucleotides. RefSeq lists it as uncharacterized. NCBI's taxonomy places the organism in Eukaryota, Metazoa, Chordata, Mammalia, Rodentia, Cricetidae. The transcript has 3 exons. The record is from RefSeq and is a predicted model, not a curated record.